RNAcentral lists this ribosomal RNA (600 nucleotides) under uncultured bacterium. RNAcentral's name for it is "bacterial SSU rRNA". It matches the Rfam family "Bacterial small subunit ribosomal RNA", at positions 28 to 626 of the family's 1533-position model. The record is from RNAcentral.
AUUGAACGCUGGCGGCAGGCCUAACACAUGUAAGUCGAGCGCGAAAGGUCUUCGGAUUGAGUAGAGCGGCGGACGGGUGAGUAACGCGUAGGAAUCUACCUAGUAGUGGGGGACAACCUGUGGAAACGCAGGCUAAUACCGCAUACGCCCUACGGGGGAAAGCGGGGGAUCUUCGGACCUCGUGCUAUUAGAUGAGCCUGCGUAAGAUUAGCUAGUUGGUGAGGUAAAGGCUCACCAAGGCGACGAUCUUUAGCUGGUCUGAGAGGAUGAUCAGUCACACUGGAACUGAGACACGGUCCAGACUCCUACGGGAGGCAGCAGUGGGGAAUAUUGCACAAUGGGGGAAACCCUGAUGCAGCCAUGCCGCGUGUGUGAAGAAGGCUCUAGGGUCGUAAAGCACUUUCAGCGGGGAGGAAAGGUUGUAAUUUAAUAGAUUGCAGCUGUGACGUUACCCGCAGAAGAAGCACCGGCUAACUCCGUGCCAGCAGCCGCGGUAAUACGGAGGGUGCAAGCGUUAAUCGGAAUUACUGGGCGUAAAGCGCGCGUAGGCGGAUGCUUAAGUCGGAUGUGAAAGCCCCGGGCUCAACCUGGGAACUGCAU